ACGAGAAGUGCUGAUUGUGCGUGUAGUUUCGGCCUACGAAGAGGAAAUUUCCCUUGUU
This 58-nucleotide transfer RNA is filed under the name Lineus viridis. RNAcentral's name for it is "tRNA-Arg". Lineage: Eukaryota; Metazoa; Nemertea; Pilidiophora; Heteronemertea; Lineidae. The record is from RNAcentral.